AGUUGUAACCUAGAGAAGUGUAACCUGUGCUGGACCGUGUACAAGUCUCCUGGAAUGGAGCAUCACAGAGGGUGAGAAUCCCGUCUUUGACACGGACUACCAGUGCAUUGUGGUUGUGCUCUCAACGAGUCGAGUUGUUUGGGAAUGCAGCUCUAAAUGGGUGGUAAAUUCCAUCUAAAGCUAAAUAUUGGCGAGAGACCGAUAGCGAACAAGUACCGUGAGGGAAAGAUGAAAAGAACUUUGGAAAGAGAGUUAAACAGUAUGUGAAAUUGUUGAAAGGGAAACGUUUGAAGUCAGUCGUGUUGGCUGGGGAUCAACCUGACUUAUUGUUAGGUGUAUUUCCUGGUUGACGGGCCAACAUCAGUUUUGACUGCCAGAAAAAGGCCAAGGGAAUGUGGCACCUUUGGGUGUGUUAUAGCUUUUGGUCGUAUGUGGUGGUUGGGACUGAGGACAGCAGUGCGCCGCAAUGGCAGGGUUUCGACCACAUUCGCACUGAGGAUGUUGGCAUAAUGGCUUUAAGCGACCCGUCUUGAAACACGGACCAAGGAGUCUAACAUGCAUGCGAGUGUUUGGGUGGAAAACCCUUACGCGUAAUGAAAGUGAAAGUUGAGAUCCCUGUCGUGGGGAGCAUCGACGCCCGGACCAGAACUUUUGGGACGGAUCUGCGGUAGAGCACGUAUGUUGGGACCCGAAAGAUGGUGAACUAUGCCUGAAUAGGGUGAAGCCAGAGGAAACU
This 736-nucleotide ribosomal RNA is filed under the name Amanita brunnescens. RNAcentral's name for it is "eukaryotic LSU rRNA". It matches the Rfam family "Eukaryotic large subunit ribosomal RNA", at positions 141 to 863 of the family's 3401-position model. Lineage: Eukaryota; Fungi; Basidiomycota; Agaricomycetes; Agaricales; Amanitaceae. The record is from RNAcentral.